This 305-nucleotide ribosomal RNA is filed under the name uncultured bacterium. RNAcentral describes it as "bacterial SSU rRNA". It matches the Rfam family "Bacterial small subunit ribosomal RNA", at positions 333 to 655 of the family's 1533-position model. The record is from RNAcentral.
GGGAGCCUACGGGAGGCAGCAGUAGGGAAUAUUGCACAAUGGGGGAAACCCUGAUGCAGCAACGCCGCGUGAGUGAAGAAGUAUUUCGGUAUGUAAAGCUCUAUCAGCAGGGAAGAAGAAAGACGGUACCUGACUAAGAAGCCCCGGCUAACUACGUGCCAGCAGCCGCGGUAAUACGUAGGGGGCAAGCGUUAUCCGGAAUGAUUGGGCGUAAAGGGUGCGUAGGCGGCCUGCUAAGUCUGGAGUGAAAGGUACCGGCUCAACCGGUACAGGCCCUGGAAACUGGCGGGCUAGAGAGCAGGAGG